Molecule: non-coding RNA, 74 nt
Organism: Camelus ferus (Wild Bactrian camel)
Lineage: Eukaryota; Metazoa; Chordata; Mammalia; Artiodactyla; Camelidae
Source: Rfam
GGAGGGUACAGCUCAAGCGGUAGAGCGCAUGCCUAGCAUGCCUGAGGUCCUGGGUUCAAUCCCCAGCGCCUCCG